GCCAGGUGUGGUGGUGCACACCUGUAAUCCCAGCUACUCAGGAGGCUGAGGCAGGAGAAUCGCUUGAACCCAGGAGGCGGAGGUUACAGUGAGUCGAGAUCGUGCCAUUGCACUCCAGCUUGGACAACAAGAGUGAAACUCUGUCUCAAAAAAUAAUAAUAAUUUAAGAAUUAGCCAGGUGUGGUGGCACAUGCCUGCAGUCCUAGCUACUAAGGAGGCUGACACAGGAGGAUCACUUCAGCCCAGGAGUUGGAGGCUUCAGUGAGCUAUGAUUGUGCCACUGUACUCCAGCCUGGGCAAUAGAGUAAGACCCUGUCUCUA
This 321-nucleotide signal recognition particle RNA is filed under the name Pan troglodytes (chimpanzee). Its description in RNAcentral is "Metazoan signal recognition particle RNA". It matches the Rfam family "Metazoan signal recognition particle RNA". Rfam says of the family: The signal recognition particle (SRP) is a universally conserved ribonucleoprotein. It is involved in the co-translational targeting of proteins to membranes. The eukaryotic SRP consists of a 300-nucleotide 7S RNA and six proteins: SRPs 72, 68, 54, 19, 14, and 9. Lineage: Eukaryota; Metazoa; Chordata; Mammalia; Primates; Hominidae. The record is from Rfam by way of RNAcentral.